Molecule: ribosomal RNA, 380 nt
Filed under: uncultured eukaryote
Lineage: Eukaryota
Description: partial 18S ribosomal RNA
Rfam family: Eukaryotic small subunit ribosomal RNA
Source: RNAcentral
CAAUAGCGUAUAUUAAAGUUGUUGCGGUUAAAAAGCUCGUAGUUGGAUUUCUGCUGAGAACGACCGGUCCGCCCUUUGGGUGUGUAUCUGGCUCUUUCUUGGCAUCUUCUUGGUGAACGUUGCUGCACUUGACUGUGUGGAGCGCUACCCAGGACUUUUACUUUGAGGAAAUUAGAGUGUUUCAAGCAGGCAUACGCCUUGAAUACAUUAGCAUGGAAUAAUAAGAUAGGACCUCGGUUCUAUUUUGUUGGUUUCUAGAGCUGAGGUAAUGAUUAAUAGGGAUAGUUGGGGGCAUUCGUAUUUAACUGUCAGAGGUGAAAUUCUUAGAUCGGUCAAAGGCGAACUACUGCGAACGCAUUCGCCAGGAAUGUUUNCUUUAA